UUAAGUUAUUAAGGGCGCACGGUGGAUGCCUUGGCACUAGAAGCCGAUGAAGGACGUUACUAACGACGAUAUGCUUUGGGGAGCUGUAAGUAAGCUUUGAUCCAGAGAUUUCCGAAUGGGGAAACCCAACAUGAGUUAUGUCAUGUUAUCGAUAUGUGAAUACAUAGCAUAUCAGAAGGCACACCCGGAGAACUGAAACAUCUUAGUACCCGGAGGAAGAGAAAGAAAAUUCGAUUCCCUUAGUAGCGGCGAGCGAAACGGGAAGAGCCCAAACCAACAAGCUUGCUUGUUGGGGUUGUAGGACACUCUAUACGGAGUUACAAAGGACGACAUUAGACGAAUCAUCUGGAAAGAUGAAUCAAAGAAGGUAAUAAUCCUGUAGUCGAAAAUGUUGUCUCUCUUGAGUGGAUCCUGAGUACGACGGAGCACGUGAAAUUCCGUCGGAAUCUGGGAGGACCAUCUCCUAAGGCUAAAUACUCUCUAGUGACCGAUAGUGAACCAGUACCGUGAGGGAAAGGUGAAAAGCACCCCGGAAGGGGAGUGAAAUAGAACCUGAAACCGUGUGCUUACAAGUAGUCAGAGCCCGUUAAUGGGUGAUGGCGUGCCUUUUGUAGAAUGAACCGGCGAGUUACGAUUUGAUGCAAGGUUAAGCAGUAAAUGUGGAGCCGUAGCGAAAGCGAGUCUGAAUAGGGCGUUUAGUAUUUGGUCGUAGACCCGAAACCAGGUGAUCUACCCUUGGUCAGGUUGAAGUUCAGGUAACACUGAAUGGAGGACCGAACCGACUUACGUUGAAAAGUGAGCGGAUGAACUGAGGGUAGCGGAGAAAUUCCAAUCGAACCUGGAGAUAGCUGGUUCUCUCCGAAAUAGCUUUAGGGCUAGCCUCAAGUGAUGAUUAUUGGAGGUAGAGCACUGUUUGGACGAGGGGCCCCUCUCGGGUUACCGAAUUCAGACAAACUCCGAAUGCCAAUUAAUUUAACUUGGGAGUCAGAACAUGGGUGAUAAGGUCCGUGUUCGAAAGGGAAACAGCCCAGACCACCAGCUAAGGUCCCAAAAUAUAUGUUAAGUGGAAAAGGAUGUGGCGUUGCCCAGACAACUAGGAUGUUGGCUUAGAAGCAGCCAUCAUUUAAAGAGUGCGUAAUAGCUCACUAGUCGAGUGACACUGCGCCGAAAAUGUACCGGGGCUAAACAUAUUACCGAAGCUGUGGAUUGUCCUUUGGACAAUGGUAGGAGAGCGUUCUAAGGGCGUUGAAGCAUGAUCGCAAGGACAUGUGGAGCGCUUAGAAGUGAGAAUGCCGGUGUGAGUAGCGAAAGACGGGUGAGAAUCCCGUCCACCGAUUGACUAAGGUUUCCAGAGGAAGGCUCGUCCGCUCUGGGUUAGUCGGGUCCUAAGCUGAGGCCGACAGGCGUAGGCGAUGGAUAACAGGUUGAUAUUCCUGUACCACCUAUAAUCGUUUUAAUCGAUGGGGGGGACGCAGUAGGAUAGGCGAAGCGUGCGAUUGGAUUGCACGUCUAAGCAGUAAGGCUGAGUAUUAGGCAAAUCCGGUACUCAUUAAGGCUGAGCUGUGAUGGGGAGAAGACAUUGUGUCUUCGAGUCGUUGAUUUCACACUGCCGAGAAAAGCCUCUAGAUAGAAAAUAGGUGCCCGUACCGCAAACCGACACAGGUAGUCAAGAUGAGAAUUCUAAGGUGAGCGAGCGAACUCUCGUUAAGGAACUCGGCAAAAUGACCCCGUAACUUCGGGAGAAGGGGUGCUCUUUAGGGUUAACGCCCAGAAGAGCCGCAGUGAAUAGGCCCAAGCGACUGUUUAUCAAAAACACAGGUCUCUGCUAAACCGUAAGGUGAUGUAUAGGGGCUGACGCCUGCCCGGUGCUGGAAGGUUAAGAGGAGUGGUUAGCUUCUGCGAAGCUACGAAUCGAAGCCCCAGUAAACGGCGGCCGUAACUAUAACGGUCCUAAGGUAGCGAAAUUCCUUGUCGGGUAAGUUCCGACCCGCACGAAAGGCGUAACGAUUUGGGCACUGUCUCAACGAGAGACUCGGUGAAAUCAUAGUACCUGUGAAGAUGCAGGUUACCCGCGACAGGACGGAAAGACCCCGUGGAGCUUUACUGUAGCCUGAUAUUGAAAUUCGGCACAGCUUGUACAGGAUAGGUAGGAGCCUUUGAAACGUGAGCGCUAGCUUACGUGGAGGCGCUGGUGGGAUACUACCCUAGCUGUGUUGGCUUUCUAACCCGCACCACUUAUCGUGGUGGGAGACAGUGUCAGGCGGGCAGUUUGACUGGGGCGGUCGCCUCCUAAAAGGUAACGGAGGCGCUCAAAGGUUCCCUCAGAAUGGUUGGAAAUCAUUCAUAGAGUGUAAAGGCAUAAGGGAGCUUGACUGCGAGACCUACAAGUCGAGCAGGGUCGAAAGACGGACUUAGUGAUCCGGUGGUUCCGCAUGGAAGGGCCAUCGCUCAACGGAUAAAAGCUACCCCGGGGAUAACAGGCUUAUCUCCCCCAAGAGUUCACAUCGACGGGGAGGUUUGGCACCUCGAUGUCGGCUCAUCGCAUCCUGGGGCUGUAGUCGGUCCCAAGGGUUGGGCUGUUCGCCCAUUAAAGCGGUACGCGAGCUGGGUUCAGAACGUCGUGAGACAGUUCGGUCCCUAUCCGUCGUGGGCGUAGGAAAUUUGAGAGGAGCUGUCCUUAGUACGAGAGGACCGGGAUGGACAUACCUCUGGUGUACCAGUUGUCGUGCCAACGGCAUAGCUGGGUAGCUAUGUGUGGACGGGAUAAGUGCUGAAAGCAUCUAAGCAUGAAGCCCCCCUCAAGAUGAGAUUUCCCAACUUCGGUUAUAAGAUCCCUCAAAGAUGAUGAGGUUAAUAGGUUCGAGGUGGAAGCAUGGUGACAUGUGGAGCUGACGAAUACUAAUCGAUCGAAGACUUAAUCAA
RNAcentral lists this ribosomal RNA (2922 nucleotides) under Staphylococcus argenteus. RNAcentral describes it as "bacterial LSU rRNA". It matches the Rfam family "Bacterial large subunit ribosomal RNA". The record is from RNAcentral. Lineage: Bacteria; Bacillati; Bacillota; Bacilli; Caryophanales; Staphylococcaceae.